RNAcentral lists this long non-coding RNA (453 nucleotides) under Gallus gallus (chicken). RNAcentral describes it as "lncRNA (ENSGALG00010002286.1)". Lineage: Eukaryota; Metazoa; Chordata; Aves; Galliformes; Phasianidae. The record is from RNAcentral.
AAAAAGAUUAACGUUUUUCUAAGCUGUGCUUAGGGCAUUAAAGAUAUUUUUUUCCUCAGAUGCUGAUUACUUUGUUAACAGAUAAAGUGAAUAGAAAGUGGCUUUUGCUGUUUAGAAAGGAAGUUUGCAACGGACUGUUUCUCUAUGUUUGUUUCAAAACUUUAGCAUUGUUUUUUUUUUCCUUCUCUACUUUAAACUUCACUUUUUGAGAAGACGGUCUUCUAAAGGCAUAGUUUUCUGCUUGUGAAGAACUUGCUUCUGACAGGUUCCUGGAGAUUCCAGGCUUCUCUGGCAAACUUGAAGUUUUAAAAAUGAGUGGCUUUGAUUUCCUUCCAGGUAGAACUUUUAAGAUCUCAUGGCUGCUGGACGGCUGUGCAUUGCUGUUUUUCUGGAGUAUUGAUGGAAAGUUGCUGUGUGAGAUAAGUGAAGCUGCUAUGUGAAGAUGAAUCUUGA